AGAUUGAACGCUGGCGGCAGGCCUAACACAUGCAAGUCGAGCGGCAGCACGGGUACUUGUACCUGGUGGCGAGCGGCGGACGGGUGAGUAAUGCCUAGGAAUCUGCCUGGUAGUGGGGGGAUAACGCUCGGAAACGGACGCUAAUACCGCAUACGUCCUACGGGAGAAAGCAGGGGACCUUCGGGCCUUGCGCUAUCAGAUGAGCCUAGGUCGAUUAGCUAGUUGGUGAGGUAAUGGCUCACCAAGGCGACGAUCCGUAACUGGUCUGAGAGGAUGAUCAGUCACACUGGAACUGAGACACGGUCCAGACUCCUACGGGAGGCAGCAGUGGGGAAUAUUGGACAAGUGGCGAAAGCCUGAUCCAGCCAUGCCGCGUGUGUGAAGAAGGUCUUCGGAUUGUAAAAGCACUUUAAGUGGAAGGAAGGCAGUAACCAAAUACGUAUCUGUUUGACGUUACGACAGAAUAAGCACGGCUAACUC
Molecule: ribosomal RNA, 480 nt
Filed under: uncultured soil bacterium
Lineage: Bacteria
Description: bacterial SSU rRNA
Rfam family: Bacterial small subunit ribosomal RNA
Source: RNAcentral